UAGUCCCAAUCUUAACCCACAAAAUUCAACACAUUUGCCUCUAACUUUAUCUACCCACUGACUACCGUCUCCUACAACACCGCAAGUUCCAAUUUGGUCAUGUGCAUGCGUGUAUUGUACUAACCUUUUUCUUUUCUUUCCUGCUUGCUUCUCCUCUUUCUAACUUUGAAUUUCUUAUAUAUAUGGACGUCUUUUUUUCCUCGAGGGUUUCUAUUGGGACCUCCUAAUUUAUGGAGCUUGGAGAAGUGCAUCCGGUCAAGCUGGGUUUGGUGGAGUAUUUCGGGAUUAUCAAAGUACUUUUCUUGGUGCUUUUUCCUCUAGUUUUGAUAUUCCAAGUUCCGUAGCAGCAGAACUGCAGAAGUAAUGGCGGUGAUUAAAGCAAUUGAAUUAGCUUGGGUUUGUGAUUGGAAACAUGUGUGGUUAGAAAUGGAUUCUUCUUUGAUUCUUAAUUUACUCAAAUCUCCUCAGCUGGUGCCUUGGCAAUUACGAGUUGAGUGGGGUAAUUGUUUGCACCGUAUCUCUUAAAUGCAUUUCCACUCCUCACACAUUUUUCGGGAAGGAAACCAAGUUGCAGAUACUUUUGUAAAUUUUGGCCUUUCUUCGGCAGGUUUGAUUUGGUAGGAUUUCCCUCCAGAUUUUAUUUCAUCGUUAUGUAAUAGAGAUUAUUUAGGUCUUCCCAAUUUUCGUUUUCGUUAGUUGGGACGUCCCCCCCCCCCUUAUGUGUUUCAUUUUCUUUCUUUUUAAAUAAAGGGGAGAUGGAGAGCAUUGUUGCUCUUCUAUCUUCAAUCUUAAUAAAAAAAUAUAAAAAAUACUUACUAGACCUCCCCUAUUUUUUUUAAUUAUUAAAUAACAUAUAUGUCCUUAUAUGAAAAUACUGUUACAGACAACAAAAUAUUAAGAUUUUUUUUUUCUCUCUCUCCACAACUUUAUAUUACUUUUAUUAUUCAUUUCCAUUUUCAAAUCUCAUUUAUGAUUUUAUUUGUUAAUGAAAGCUUUCGAAGAAAACAAAGAAUCAAAAGAUAAUGCAUUCAAAAUUACUUGGUGGAUUAUACAAGAACAAAAUUAUGAUGCAAUAGAAAAAAUAUUAGAUAAAUGGUUUUCUCAUUAGUAUUACAAGAUCAUGAAAUGAGGGAUAGAGAGCCAUCGUGUAAACUAAACCAAAUAAACUUGUGAAGCGGCAUAUAAGAUAAAGUUAAAUAAAAAUAACUAAAUGAGCAAAUUUAAUUUUGUAACCAUAAAACAUGAAAAAUUAGGCUUGAAAAAAAUUAUGGUAAUAAUUUCUUAAUUAGUUAUCAAGCUAUGACUUCCUCCUUUUUUUUCAAUAAUUAUUUCAAUUUUUAUUUUUCGGCAAACAAACAAUUAUGGGAGAAUUAAAACUCAUCUUUAAUGCUUGGAACAUUCCAUUUAUAAGUAAGGUUAAGUUAGGUAUUUGAAAGAGGUUUAAAUAGCAAAUUUUACUUUUUAAAAAGCAAAUAAAAGGUAUAAAGAGCCGGAGAGAUCAAAUGAGCAAAUAUGGAAGUCUCAAUAGAAAAACUCUCUUUCUUCCGGUUUAAUUGGCCAGCUAAACCAUUCAGCUGAUAUGAUUUUGUCACAUUAAUUGGUGCGACAAGUCAGAGGAUACAAGGGGUACCAUUAGAUCGAUAUAUGAAAAUGACACUCCAUUCAUUGUAAAGAAGAAUAGUAAUGGAGAAAGUGCUAGUAAUGUGACGGUGUUAGGUAAUGGGGUGCCGUUAGGUAUAUGAAAAUGACACUCCAUAGUGAAGUGGACGAGUCAAUGCAAUCAAAACAAAGAUAGUAAUUGAGAAAGUGCUAGUACUGUGUGGGUGUUACAUUAUGACCUGGAUCUUGAAAGAGAAUGAAAGUGAAAAGAAUAUGACGUUGCUUAUGUGUACAAAACAGAAAAAGAAAUUAUGCGCAUUUAAGUUUGUUUGGUUUGUUAGUUACUGUUCAUUUUCAGAAGAGAAAAAUGCACCAACAGUCCUUAGCUCUUGUGCACCUGCCAGUUUGAUAUUCAGACUCACAAUGGUAUCAAUGUGAUACUUAGACUCAAAAUUUGCUAUAAACGACAUAUUUCUGUUAAAUUUUUGUAACGGUUCCGUUAAAGAGCUGACGUAGCAAUCACUUGGAGAAAACAAAGAUGGCAAAUGACCAAAAUAACCCUCAACUUCUACCAACAACUUAAUUAUAUAGUUAAAUGAUUUUUUUUUUUUAUUAUUAUUAUUUUCUCUCUUCUCUUCUUCUUCCUUUGUUCUUGGGUUUGUACUUUGUCGUCUGUGUUUCUCUUUUGUGAAGGUGAUGGCGUCCAAGCGGAUCUUGAAGGAGCUCAAGGAUCUCCAGAAAGAUCCUCAUACCUCUUGCAGGUGGAUGAAAUUCCUCCUUCUCCGUCGCUCCCACUAAGUUGCCGACAAGAUUGCAUCAUUGUCACUGUUGAAAUCUUGAUGAAAAACCUAUUGGACCUUUCAUUCCAAUCACUCCUUGGGGCGGACGACGUUGGCAUCGGAGUAUAUCCGGGCCUUAGAGGCGGCGAAUCGUUUUACAGAUCUUUUGCGCCAAGGUUUUGUUGAGCGGACAGAGAGGACUCUCUGAUGACGCGAUGCGGCGGAGGAGCGGGGAAAAGCCAUCUAGAAAUAGCGGGUCUGGGCAAACCAAUUGGGGCUGGAAACAACGAUGGGGAUUUGGAGACGAGGGCUUUGCUGACUUGAUGGGUAGAGACAGGCACGGACACAAGGGUGGGCUGAGGUGUGCUGCAGCCCACCUCAACAUUUGGGGGGGGGGGGGGGGAAUUGAUAUAUGUAUACCAAGUCAUAGCACCCCUUAAAAAAAAAAGGGUCAACAUAUAUAAUUAAUGUAUGUAGCAAACUAACAGACAAGUCUCUCCUUUUCUCCCUUUCUUUGUCCUCUCGUCUUCACCUCUGCCCACUGCCCAGUUCUGCGAGCUCAGACUCUCACCUCUCUCUACCAAGUCACUUUAUCUCUUCUCCUCAAUAAUCUGCUCUCAUCUCUCAACCUUAUUCAGGUAUUACACUUUAACUUCUCUUCUAUAAUGAAAUUUUUUGACGAAAUUAGAAUGUAAUUUAGGUUAGAAUUUGGGUAUUUCUAGAUUUCUUGAUGUAAGUAAUCAAAUCUAUUGAUUUCUAGAAAAAGAUAUUGAAUGGGGGAAUUGAUAUAUGUAUACCAAGUCAUAGCACCCCUUAAAAAAAAAAGGGUCAACAUAUAUAAUUAAUGUAUGUAGCAAACUAACAGACAAGUCUCUCCUUUUCUCCCUUUCUUUGUCCUCUCGUCCUCACCUCUGCCCACUGCCCAGUUCUGCGAGCUCAGACUCUCACCUCUCUCUACCAAGUCACUUUAUCUCUUCUCCUCAAUAAUCUGCUCUCAUCUCUCAACCUUAUUCAGAGAUGGGAGGUGGGGUAAAGAGGGUGUGGAAUGGAGGAUUGACUGAGAGUAGGGCGAAGAUGCGGCGGGUCAGGAGUUGGAGGCACCGUCAAUGAUCCAUACCGAUUCUAUGUGGAUUAUCUUAAUCAGAAGACGUCGUCUGGGCUUGGAUUUGUACUAAUGGAAUGUAUAUGCUUCAUGGCUUCUUUCGGAGUUUACUUAAUUGAAUGGGUUUGAAACAAAAAAAAUGGACUCGUUCUAUAAAUUAAGCAAAAUCAAAAGAAAGGAAAAAAGAGAGAGAGAGAGAGAGAGAGAGAAGUCAAUAUUAUCAUGAUGUGACCAACAGUUUUUAUUAUUAUUUUUUUAGAGUAAUUUAUUUUAUUUUAUUAACAAGUUAAAAAGACA
Molecule: long non-coding RNA, 3777 nt
Organism: Rosa rugosa (rugosa rose)
Lineage: Eukaryota; Viridiplantae; Streptophyta; Magnoliopsida; Rosales; Rosaceae
Exons: 3
Source: RefSeq, a predicted model, not a curated record